RNAcentral lists this small nucleolar RNA (137 nucleotides) under Ornithorhynchus anatinus (platypus). Lineage: Eukaryota; Metazoa; Chordata; Mammalia; Monotremata; Ornithorhynchidae. The record is from RNAcentral.
CCCCUCUCAGGAUGGCACCUGGAGAGUUUCCAGUACUCUACCGGUCUCGGCUACGGGAGGGAGAGUCAAGCAGAGGCCUAUCCAUCCCAUUCCUAGCUCGGGCAGAGCUAGCGACUGGAAGGCCAUCUGCUACCAGU